UAGGGAAUCUUCCACAAUGGACGCAAGUCUGAUGGAGCAACGCCGCGUGAGUGAAGAAGGUCUUCGGAUCGUAAAGCUCUGUUGUUGGUGAAGAAGGAUAGAGGCAGUAACUGGUCUUUAUUUGACGGUAAUCAACCAGAAAGUCACGGCUAACUACGUGCCAGCAGCCGCGGUAAUACGUAGGUGGCAAGCGUUGUCCGGAUUUAUUGGGCGUAAAGCGAGCGCAGGCGGAAUGAUAAGUCUGAUGUGAAAGCCCACGGCUCAACCGUGGAACUGCAUCGGAAACUGUCAUUCUUGAGUGCAGAAUAGGAGAGUGGAACUCCAUGUGUAGCGGUGGAAUGCGUAGAUAUAUGGAAGAACACCAGUGGCGAAGGCGGCUCUCUGGUCUGCAACUGACGCUGAGGCUCGAAAGCAUGGGUAGCGAACAGGAUUAGAUACCCUGG
This 443-nucleotide ribosomal RNA is filed under the name uncultured bacterium. Its description in RNAcentral is "partial 16S ribosomal RNA". It matches the Rfam family "Bacterial small subunit ribosomal RNA", at positions 355 to 790 of the family's 1533-position model. The record is from RNAcentral.